RNAcentral lists this ribosomal RNA (149 nucleotides) under Vibrio parahaemolyticus. RNAcentral describes it as "partial 16S ribosomal RNA". It matches the Rfam family "Bacterial small subunit ribosomal RNA", at positions 1 to 130 of the family's 1533-position model. The record is from RNAcentral. Lineage: Bacteria; Pseudomonadati; Pseudomonadota; Gammaproteobacteria; Vibrionales; Vibrionaceae.
UUAAAUUGAAGAGUUUGAUCAUGGCUCAGAUUGAACGCUGGCGGCAGGCCUAACACAUGCAAGUCGAGCGGAAACGAGUUAUCUGAACCUUCGGGGAACGAUAACGGCGUCGAGCGGCGGACGGGUGAGUAAUGCCUAGGAAAUUGCCC